This 253-nucleotide ribosomal RNA is filed under the name uncultured prokaryote. Its description in RNAcentral is "partial 16S ribosomal RNA". It matches the Rfam family "Bacterial small subunit ribosomal RNA", at positions 525 to 777 of the family's 1533-position model. The record is from RNAcentral.
ACGUAGGGAGCAAGCGCUGUUCGGAUUUACUGGGCGUAAAGGGCGCGUAGGCGGCGCGGUAAGUCACUUGUGAAAUCUCUGAGCUUAACUCAGAACGGCCAAGUGAUACUGCAGUGCUAGAGUGCAGAAGGGGCAAUCGGAAUUCUUGGUGUAGCGGUGAAAUGCGUAGAUAUCGAGGGGAACACCUGCGGCGAAGGCGGGUUGCUGGGCUGACACUGACGCUGAGGCGCGAAAGCUAGGGGAGCGAACGGGA